UACUAGGCCGGGUGUGUAAGCGCAGCGAUGCGUUGAGCUAACCGGUACUAAUGAACCGUGAGGCUUAACCUUACAACGCCGAAG
This 84-nucleotide ribosomal RNA is filed under the name Salmonella enterica subsp. enterica serovar Bovismorbificans. Its description in RNAcentral is "partial 23S ribosomal RNA". The record is from RNAcentral. Lineage: Bacteria; Pseudomonadati; Pseudomonadota; Gammaproteobacteria; Enterobacterales; Enterobacteriaceae.